CAGCACAUGAAAAGUACCUUUCCCACAGAUGGUUUAACAGUGAUUUUGGAUUUGCUUUUUCCGAUGUAACACAGCUAUAUCUCUUUCUCUAAUAUGUCUUUACGUAUUUAUUUCUCAAUCCCCUUUAUCACACUGUGAAGUGUUUUGGCUUGUUGUUUUCAUGGCUGUUUAUGGCAGUCUGUUGUUCAAUUGGAUACCACUUGUGUCCUUGCUCUUUUCAGCACAGCAUAGCCAGUCAGCCAGUCUUGCCAGCAGGAGUUAAGUGGAACUUGGGUACUUUUCCAGUUGAACAAAAAAACCCUGUUCUUCCUGCAGCCUGCAUUUCAACAAUGAGUAAAGAGAAGCUUCAUAGUCAACAUUAAAUAAAAACACAUGGUUUCCUGCAGCUGGAGUCUUAAUCUUGCAUUAGGGUUCCCAGAGCCAAUGCUGCAAGGGGCAGCUUUUAGAUAGCUAGUGGUACUUCAAUUGCAAAACUCUCAGUUAAACCUGAGUUUACGGCUGCUCAUCACAAAACUACUGAAAGAGAAAUAGUUUUUGCAGCUUCUUGUUUUGGAAUGCUGAUGGGAAUCAGAGGAGAACAGUCCUGUUAUUUUAUAGGAGACUACAGUUUCUUUACUGAAGCUUCUGCAAGUGAGCUGGAAAGUGUCUGUUAACAAGGAAUAGCUCAACUGAAACAAAUUCCUCUUGCUUUUGUCUCCAAGUGAACUGCACUGUGGAAGGACAUGAAAUGUAAAUGCACUGCCUAAGAGGUUUACAGUAAAAGGUAAAGUACAGUCUGAGGGUGACUAUUAACAUCUCCAUUGUGUAGCAAAUACUCAGAAUGGUAAAAGGCUGUUGUUCAAGAAACAAGUAAAAAAAGCUUUAGUGUUUUUUAAAGGUUCUCUGUAGAGAUCUAAAUUUUUCAUGUGAGUUGUCCUUGUAGCCUUGUUAGGAGCUGUUAUUAGAACCGCAUGAAGAACCUGAUAGUUAUUCAGGUGUAUGAAGUUAUAUGCAACAAAAGUAUGCAAGAAGAGGGGGAAAACAUCCUUAUAUUCUAUAGUGUAAUAUAUAGAAUAUAAUUAAUAUGUUCUGAUCUUCAGAAUGAUGCUUCAAUUUAGGUGAAGAAAUUUUCUUCAAACAUUUAUGCUGAUUUGUGCCCAUUUAUGGAUCAAACUUUUAAGUGAAUGGGUUUUGUGUAGUCAUGUUUGUAGGAAACAUUGUACGUUUACAAUUUUGCAAAUAAAUAUUCCACGUAAGGGGUUGGAUAAGGGAUUCCUCUAAAGCCCAUGAAAGUUAAUGGUAAAGUGAUCCAUAUCGAUUUUAGUGGAUAUUAGGUGAGGCCUUAUGUGCAAAUAUAAAUAAUUUCCAGCUGAAGUUGAGCAUACAAACAUUUAGGUAACUCUUAUUUCAUUUGCCUUUAUAUAUCUGGGCUCCCGGACUGGACUUCCGAAAAUAUUGCAGAUGGGAUAUUCUGAGUACUUCAUAUUGUAAACAGUGUGUGGCUGAAGAUCAGAGCUGACAUUGAUCCCACCUAGUAUUGGAGAGCUAUAUCUGAAUGAGCUACCCCAACAUAUUUGGGAGUCCAUGGAGACAAAUAUGUGCUUUUGGGUGCAGUAUAUGCAACCUAUUUUAGAGGAUGGGACUGCUGCUCUCACUAUGAAGAGUGUCUUGGGUCAGAGGAGUGUGAGAUGUUUUACUAUUCGUUUUUGUUUUCAGUGGCCAGUUGAGUUUGUGACCUAAAGCCAUUUCUUUAUUCAUGGAAGAGAUCUGUUUUUUCUAUUAAAACCAGUGCUUGAACCACAUGCCAGAAAGCUGGCAUGCUGCCACUCUGGUGCUUUUAUUGUGGAAAUUAGAAGAGCAGUAGGUCAUCUUUCCUGUCUCUGUAGUAAGAAAUGGGUAGCUGGAUUGCCCAGAUACAUUACAACUUCUGGGGAUUUUCUUUAGUCAGAUUAACUAAGUAAGGCUGUUAUUUGAUGUAUAAUAUCUUGAUCAUGCAACCCUGCAUUCCUGGUGAAGGAGACUUGGAACACAGCUCUUGUCAGAUAUUAUGACAGGAUUUCCAAAUGAAAAUAUUUCCAUUUCUUACAUUUUACUUCCUUUUUGAAAUAUUCCAUGGGAGAAAUUUUCUGAGUAAUUCUGACCACAAAUAUAUUUCAAUGAUUUUGUUACAGUAUCCUGAUACAGUAUUGUAUCCUAAUCCCAAGGGUAAAAGUGGUAUGUGUUUUAAUCUAGUUCAAAAUAAAUGACAAAUGAAACUUCAAGCCUAAUUCAUAUAUUAAAAAAUGCUAAAUUCAGCCAACAUGAAUGAUUUUAUUGUAAACAUUGAUUGUUUUGUACAA
Molecule: long non-coding RNA, 2318 nt
Organism: Pezoporus occidentalis (night parrot)
Lineage: Eukaryota; Metazoa; Chordata; Aves; Psittaciformes; Psittacidae
Exons: 3
Source: RefSeq, a predicted model, not a curated record